Molecule: long non-coding RNA, 2612 nt
Filed under: Sus scrofa (pig)
Lineage: Eukaryota; Metazoa; Chordata; Mammalia; Artiodactyla; Suidae
Description: lncRNA (ENSSSCG00030020568.1)
Source: RNAcentral
UUUUUUUUUUUUUUUCAAGUUGCAUCAAAGUAUAGUUGAUUCAUAAUACUGUGGUAUUGAUGUGCUUAUGACUCAAUUUUAUUUUUUUUUAACUUUUUAAUUAUAGUUGAUUUAUCCUACUCUGUCCAUUUCUGCUGUACAGCAAAGCGACCGAGUCAUACAUAUAGACACACAUUCUUUUUCUCAUGGCUGUAUCAUUGCUGCUGGGCAACAAAGUGACUCAGGGAUCCCUGUCCACACAUCCACUCUCUUUCAGCUUCUUUCCCCACAUAGAUGAUCACAGCAUAUUGGAUAGAGUUCCAAUGAGUCGCUGUUUCAUUGGCCAAUAUGGAGCCUUUAAUGAAAAAAAAAAGUGCAGGAUAUUGAGACAUGUCAACAUUUUCAGAACCCAUCAACAGUGCAAUAGGGAUACUGUGGACGGGAUUGUAAAUUGGUGCAACCCCUGUGGAAAACAGGAUGGAGAUUCCUCAGAAAACUAGAAAUAGAACUCCCAUUUGAUCCAGCAAUCCCACACCUGGGCAUCUAUCCAGAGAAAACCACGACUGGAAAAGACACAUGUACACCAAUGUUCACUGCGGCACUAUUCACAAUAGCCAAGACACGGAAACAACCUAAAUGUCCAUCAGCAGAGGAGUGAAUCAAGAACAUGUGGCCCAUUUGCACACACAUGACUCAGCCAUUAAAAGCCAUUAAAAGGAAAGAAAUACCAGCAUUUUUAGCAACAUGGAUGGACCUAGAAAUUAUCAUGCUAAGUGAACUCAGUCAGACAGUGAGACACCAACAUCAAAUGCUUUCACUGAAAUGUGGAAUCUAACAAAAGGACAGAAUGAACUUUGCAGAACAGAUACGGACUCACAGACUUUGAAAAAUUUACAGUUUCCAAACGAGACAGGAUGGGGGGUGGGGGGAUGCACAGAGGGUUUGGGAUGGACAUGCCAUAAAAUUUGGUUGGGGUGAUUGUUGUACACCCAUAAAUGUAAUAAAAUUCAUUAAGUAAUUUUAAAAAGAAAACAAACAAACAACAACAAAGAAAACAUUUGCUGAACCCUAAUUGAUGUAUUUUCUGAGAGCUAUUCCCUUUUAGGAUAUCAAUCCAUUUUGACAGUGCCCUCCAAGUUCUGAGCAUCCAAUGUGUUUUCUCUUCUUUACUGAGGUAUAACUGCCAUAUAAUAUUAGAGUCGUUUCAUUUGCACAUAAUGACUUGGUAUUUGUAUACCCUGAGAAAGGAUCCCACGAUUGAGUCUACCUCAUCUUCCUCCUCAGCUCACAGUUACAAUUUUUUUCCUGUGGAUAAGCCCGUAUGUCAAUUUCAACAUCGCGGGAGUCGCAAAGGGGGCAGAGAGGACCAUUCUUAAGCUAAAUAUACAGAGAUGGGGUUUGUUUUAUUUCAUUUCACUUUUAUUUCUAAGCUUUAGUGUCUUUUUGAAAACUCAUAGAUUUGUAUUCUUUAGAGGAGUUUGAGGUUUACAGAAAAGCAGAGCAGAAAGCACAGAGAUUUCCUAUCCACCCUCUUUCCUCCCACUCCGGCACAGUAUUGUUUAAAAUGUAUUUUAUUAGAGUAGAGUUGACGUACGACAUUGUGUUAAUUUCUGCGGUACAGAAAAGUGAUGCCGUCUGUCUAUCUAUUCUUUUUCAUAUUCAUCUCCACGAUGAUUUAUCACAAGAUACUGAAUAAAAUUCCCAGUGCUAUACUGUUGCUCCUUGUUGUUUGUCCAUGCUAUAUAUUUUUAAAAAUUUAUUUUAUUGAAGUAUAGUUGAUUCACAGUGUUCUGUUAAUUUCUGCCACACAGCAAAGUGACACAGUUAUCCAUCUAUAUAAAAUAAUAUGAAAAGGAAUAUACAUUUAUAUAUUCUUACAUAUAUUAUUUUUCAUAUAAUUUUCCAUCAUGGUAAUCUAUCUACCUAUGUAUCUAUGUGUCUUUGUACCUGUGUAUGUAUGUAUGUAUGUAUCUACCUAUCUGUCUAUAUACCUCUAUCUAUCUAUCUAUCUAUCUAUCUAUCUAUCUAUCUAUCUAUUCUUUUUCAUAGUCUUUCCAUGAUGCUUUAUCACAGGAUGUUGAAUAGAGUUCCCUGGGCUCCAUAGGAGGACACUGUUGUUUAUCCAUCCUGUAUAUAUCAGUUUGCACCUGCUAAUCCCAAAGUCCCUGUCCCUCCCUCCCCCAGCCCCCUUCCUCCUUGGCAACCACAAGUCUGUUCUCAACAGUAUGUCAUAUUUUUAACAUCUUGCAUUCGUGUGGUUCAUUUGUUAUAACUGAUGAGCCAACACGGCUACAUUAUUAUUCACUAAAACCCACAGUUUACCUUAAGCGUCACUCAUUGCAUAUCCCGUGGGUUCUGACAAAUGGCUGGUGACCUCCUUCUACCACAGAAUUAUGUCAGGGUCCUCAAACCCCUUCCUUUCCAAGAUCCCUGGUUACCCCUGAGCCUUUACUCUCCCUUGUAGUUUUGUCUUUUGUUUAUCCUACGUUUUUUCUUUUUACAGCAUAUGGAAGUUCCCAGGCCAGGAAUCAAAUCCAAGCUGCAUGUAUGACCUACCCUGUAGCUUGUAGCAACACUGGAUCCUUAACUCACUGAGCGAGGCCAGGCAUUGAACCCUCAUCCUCAGACUAUAU